This is a long non-coding RNA of Nilaparvata lugens (brown planthopper), 387 nucleotides long. RefSeq lists it as uncharacterized. The transcript has 3 exons. The record is from RefSeq and is a predicted model, not a curated record. NCBI's taxonomy places the organism in Eukaryota, Metazoa, Arthropoda, Insecta, Hemiptera, Delphacidae.
GCAGCAGAUUGGUGGAGGUGGGGGGAGAUACAACAUGACUGCAAUGCAUGGAUGCCGCCGAUGUGUGCUGGGCGGGCGGGCGGUCGGUCAUCCUCAUGUCAUAUCACGAAGACUUCUAGUAGGAUUUGACAGCUGGUGAUCGAGAUGACUCCACCUUGAGUGGACUAUAUAGGCAGAGUUUUGGACAGUGGACAUAACGGACUUCGCAGCCAUAGAACAACAUGAGUCACUUCUCUUCUGCUUCUGCUACUACGUCAUCUUCUACUGCUGCUACUACUGUUACUGCUACUGAUACUGCUACUACUGUUACUGCUGCUGCUACUGAUACAGCUGCUUCUUCUUUGCUGAGAAAUCAACACUUUUGGACGUCCGCAGCUGAUCGCUGAC